GCAGUCGAGCGGAACGAGAAUAGCUUGCUAUUCGGCGUCGAGCGGCGGACGGGUGANUAAUGCUUGGGAAUAUGCCUUUGAGUGGGGGACAACAGUUGGAAACGACUGCUAAUACCGCAUAACGUCUACGGACCAAAGGGGGGGACGCUUCGGCACCUCUCGCUCAUUGAUUAGCCCAAGUGAGAUUAGCUAGUUGGUAAGGUAAUGGCUUACCAAGGCGACGAUCUCUAGCUGGUUUGAGAGGAUGAUCAGCCACACUGGGACUGAGACACGGCCCAGACUCCUACGGGAGGCAGCAGUGGGGAAUAUUGCACAAUGGGCGAAAGCCUGAUGCAGCCAUGCCGCGUGUGUGAAGAAGGCCUUCGGGUUGUAAAGCACUUUCAGCGAGGAGGAAAGGUUAGUAGUUAAUAACUGCUAGCUGUGACGUUACUCGCAGAAGAAGCACCGGCUAACUUCGUGCCAGCAGCCGCGGUAAUACGAGGGGUGCAAGCGUUAAUCGGAAUUACUGGGCGUAAAGCGUGCGUAGGUGGUUUGUUAAGCAAGAUGUGAAAGCCCUGGGCUCAACCUGGGAACUGCAUUUUGAACUGGCAAGCUAGAGUUUUGUAGAGGGUAGUGGAAUUUCCAGUGUAGCGGUGAAAUGCGUAGAGAUUGGAAGGAACAUCAGUGGCGAAGGCNGCUACCUGGACAAAGACUGACACUGAGGCACGAAAGNGUGGGGAGCAAACAGGAUUAGAUACCCUGGUAGUCCACGCCGUAAACGAUGUCAACUAGCCGUCUGUAGACUUGAUCUGUGGGUGGCG
This 800-nucleotide ribosomal RNA is filed under the name Colwellia sp. SJ1801. RNAcentral's name for it is "bacterial SSU rRNA". It matches the Rfam family "Bacterial small subunit ribosomal RNA", at positions 57 to 848 of the family's 1533-position model. Lineage: Bacteria; Pseudomonadati; Pseudomonadota; Gammaproteobacteria; Alteromonadales; Colwelliaceae. The record is from RNAcentral.